UACGUAGGUGGCAAGCGUUGUCCGGAUUUACUGGGCGUAAAGGGAGCGUAGGCGGAUGUUUAAGUGGGAUGUGAAAUACCCGGGCUCAACUUGGGUGCUGCAUUCCAAACUGGAUAUCUAGAGUGCAGGAGAGGAAAGUGGAAUUCCUAGUGUAGCGGUGAAAUGCGUAGAGAUUAGGAAGAACACCAGUGGCGAAGGCGACUUUCUGGACUGUAACUGACGCUGAGGCUCGAAAGCGUGGGGAGCAAAC
RNAcentral lists this ribosomal RNA (250 nucleotides) under uncultured bacterium. Its description in RNAcentral is "partial 16S ribosomal RNA". It matches the Rfam family "Bacterial small subunit ribosomal RNA", at positions 524 to 773 of the family's 1533-position model. The record is from RNAcentral.